This 617-nucleotide long non-coding RNA is filed under the name Elaeis guineensis (African oil palm). Its description in RNAcentral is "long non-coding RNA (EGUI_LNC081336)". Lineage: Eukaryota; Viridiplantae; Streptophyta; Magnoliopsida; Arecales; Arecaceae. The record is from RNAcentral.
GCGGAGGGUGCAACAGACUGAUAGUGACGUCUGUAACUGCCUGGUAGUGGGCCGUUCGGGGCCAGGAGGAGUUUGUUAUGAAGAGUGAUGGAGUGGACUCGUGGCUAUCACCGUGGCCUACCAUGUGGAGCCUGUGGCGAGGAGUAGAGCAGUAUCCGUUGUCGUGACUUGCUAGGAAGUGGUGGAGCUGCGCUGAAUCCAUCGCAGGAAGUGGAGCAGAAUCGUGGUCAUUACUGUGGCCUGCCGCGUGGAGCCUGUUGCGGUGAGUGGUGGAGCCGCACAGAAUCCGUCGCAGGAGAUGGAGCAGAGUCGUGGCCAUUACUGUGGCCUGUCAGGGAGUCCAGGCCUAUCGACCGAAGCUCGAUUGAAGCAUCUGGCAGAGAGAGGUAGCUAUCCAUCUGAGAGGAGCUCGGAUGUUGCUGGCGAGCCUUCUACCGUUGGGUGCCUUGGGCGUCAACACGACAGGCGAGGGCCAUUCGCUGUAGGAGCUCGGUCAGAGGUUUUCCGCAGAUGAAGUUCAGUUUCACGCAGAAUUCGGCAGAGGGUCGAUUGGUCAGUGGGUGUCGGAUGGCGCUGGAGAGGUUCAUCCGCUGGAGGAGUCCGGCUGCUGGAAUCCG